Long non-coding RNA from Ruditapes philippinarum (Manila clam), 446 nucleotides. RefSeq lists it as uncharacterized. NCBI's taxonomy places the organism in Eukaryota, Metazoa, Mollusca, Bivalvia, Venerida, Veneridae. The record is from RefSeq and is a predicted model, not a curated record. The transcript has 2 exons.
UACUCCGUGGUACGUAUUACCUAUCCGACAACGAUAUUAAUCCGGGAUUUAGCCGUUACCCAUUAAUUUCCAGUUAUCGUCGUUUUCAUUGGCUGAGAAGUAAAUGUAAACAUUGCAGACAGCAUCAGCUGUUAAUUAAACUUUACAAAACGUGUUAAAUCAUUCAAAUGAGGAGCAUUUUGUGCUAUUACACUGCACCAGACGAUGUCACCUACUUCAUAUCUAUGGAAGGACAACUUGGCAUCGUAAAUAUCUUUACUUCGUUUACCACUUGACAAGAGGUGUUCUCUCGCCACAUCAUGUGCUCGCAACAUUUUGGUUCUUAAUUGCUGGACAUACCGGUUCUCAUUGAUAACCUCUUUGGACAUGGCAUUCGCAUGAUUGAACAUCAAGUCUGCAGGCAUUCUAAUCUCGCGACCAAGACAAAGGAGAUUUGGGGAAAGGUU